UACGUAGGGGGCAAGCAUUGUCCGGAUUUAUUGGGCGUAAAGAGCGUGUAGGCGGCCGAAUAAGUCUGACGUGAAAUCUGGAGGCUCAACCUCCAGCUGUCGUUGGAAACUAUUCGGCUAGAGUCCGGAAGAGGAGAGUGGAAUUCCCGGUGUAGCGGUGGAAUGCGUAGAGAUCCGGAAGAACACCAGUGGCGAAGGCGGCCUGCUGGGCCGGUAUGGGCAUAGCAAUAUGUCCAGUGCUGACGCUGAGGCGCGACAGCGUGGGGAGCAAACAGGAUUAGAUACCCGUAGUAGU
This 295-nucleotide ribosomal RNA is filed under the name uncultured bacterium. RNAcentral describes it as "partial 16S ribosomal RNA". It matches the Rfam family "Bacterial small subunit ribosomal RNA", at positions 524 to 794 of the family's 1533-position model. The record is from RNAcentral.